RNAcentral lists this transfer RNA (73 nucleotides) under Perkinsus marinus ATCC 50983. It matches the Rfam family "tRNA". From Rfam's summary of the family: Transfer RNA (tRNA) molecules are approximately 80 nucleotides in length. Their secondary structure includes four short double-helical elements and three loops (D, anti-codon, and T loops). Further hydrogen bonds mediate the characteristic L-shaped molecular structure. tRNAs have two regions of fundamental functional importance: the anti-codon, which is responsible for specific mRNA codon recognition, and the 3' end, to which the tRNAs corresponding amino acid is attached (by aminoacyl-tRNA synthetases). tRNAs cope with the degeneracy of the genetic code in two manners: having more than one tRNA (with a specific anti-codon) for a particular amino acid; and 'wobble' base-pairing, i.e. permitting non-standard base-pairing at the 3rd anti-codon position. The record is from Rfam by way of RNAcentral. Lineage: Eukaryota; Perkinsozoa; Perkinsida; Perkinsidae.
GCCCGAUUAGUCAGCUGGAUAGAAUGUCUGCCUACGGAGCAGAUGGUCGUAGGUUCGAAUCCUGCAUCGGGUA